AGGGUUUGAUUCUGGCUCAGGAUGAACGCUGGCGGCGUGCCUAACACAUGCAAGUCGAACGAGGUAUUUUGAUUGAAGUUUUCGGAUGGAUUUCAAGAUACCGAGUGGCGGACGGGUGAGUAACGCGUGGGUAACCUGCCUCAUACAGGGGGAUAACGGUUAGAAAUGACUGCUAAUACCGCAUAAGCGCACAGUACCGCAUGGUACGGUGUGAAAAACUCCGGUGGUAUGAGAUGGACCCGCGUCUGAUUAGCUAGUUGGUGGGGUAACGGCCCACCAAGGCGACGAUCAGUAGCCGACCUGAGAGGGUGACCGGCCACAUUGGGACUGAGACACGGCCCAG
Molecule: ribosomal RNA, 343 nt
Filed under: uncultured bacterium
Lineage: Bacteria
Description: bacterial SSU rRNA
Rfam family: Bacterial small subunit ribosomal RNA
Source: RNAcentral